AUUGAACGCUGGCGGCAUGCUUUACACAUGCAAGUCGAACGGCAGCGCGGGCUUCGGCCUGGCGGCGAGUGGCGAACGGGUGAGUAAUGCAUCGGAACGUGCCCAGUAGUGGGGGAUAGCCCGGCGAAAGCCGGUUUAAUACCGCAUACGACCUGAGGGUGAAAGCGGGGGACCGAAAGGCCUCGCGCUAUUGGAGCGGCCGAUGUCGGAUUAGCUAGUUGGUGGGGUAAAGGCUUACCAAGGCGACGAUCCGUAGCUGGUCUGAGAGGACGACCAGCCACACUGGGACUGAGACACGGCCCAGACUCCUACGGGAGGCAGCAGUGGGGAAUUUUGGACAAUGGGGGCAACCCUGAUCCAGCCAUGCCGCGUGCGGGAAGAAGGCCUUCGGGUUGUAAACCGCUUUUGUUCGGGAAGAAAUCCUCUGGGCUAAUACCCCGGGGGGAUGACGGUACCGGAAGAAUAAGCACCGGCUAACUACGUG
RNAcentral lists this ribosomal RNA (484 nucleotides) under uncultured bacterium. RNAcentral's name for it is "partial 16S ribosomal RNA". It matches the Rfam family "Bacterial small subunit ribosomal RNA", at positions 28 to 507 of the family's 1533-position model. The record is from RNAcentral.